This 874-nucleotide long non-coding RNA is filed under the name Salvia miltiorrhiza (redroot sage). Its description in RNAcentral is "long non-coding RNA (SMIL_LNC007219)". Lineage: Eukaryota; Viridiplantae; Streptophyta; Magnoliopsida; Lamiales; Lamiaceae. The record is from RNAcentral.
CUCUCUCUCUGUUCUCUCACAAAUCCACCGCCACUCAUCGUCUCUCUCUGUUCUCUCACAAAUCCACCGCCCAAUUCAUCCCCUUUAGAUUCACCUACAUAUCGCCAUCUCUGCUACCGUUGCCAGCCGCCUCCGCCCCGCCGCAUUCUCUGCAGCAGUAGGCACCGGAUCUCGCCUUCUCCUCCAUCACCUCCAAGAUCUCCUCCAGUUCGCAACACCUCCUCCUCCGCAUCGAUGCCACCAUCUCCACCUAGUUUGAUUAACCUAAAAUACGUCGCCGCUCCAAUCACUGCCGUUCUCGCCUUCGUUCUAGAUCUCAGCGACUUUCCAGCCGAUCUCGCACAUGAUUUGCUGGCGCCACUUGUCGGCCUCUGCUAGGUCGCGGCACUCCGACGCCAGGUAGGGGCGGCGCUCCUUCGGCUUCUUCUUCUCCUCCUCUUUCAUGGUGAUGAAACGGUUCAUCGUCGAUUGCAGUUUUUCUUCGUUUCGAGUCAUUUCGGACAAAUUGGGGACGCAUUAGGAUUUUGAUUCGUCGACAGGAAGGAUGACGGGGCAGAGAAGGAAAUGAUUGAGAUGAGAUAGCAGUGCGUGAAGAAGGUGAUGGAUCUGAGCUGCUGUGGUCCAACCACCAUUAGAUUCUGAUCGGCGCAAAUGACUGGUUGGUGAUGGCGACGCCGCGAGGGUUUGCGAUUUUGGGGAGAGUUGCUUGUUUAUAGUACUGUAAUACUGUUAUGGAUUAGUUUUUGUGGAUUUUGGAUUGUGGAAUGUUGGAUUAAUUUUCUAUGGGUUUUGCGAUUUUGGAAUUCAAAGUCAAAUUGACUAAUUGGUAUGAUGGCUAAUUGGUAUGAUGGCCAACUCAAUGCCCAAUGAUUUG